Molecule: ribosomal RNA, 468 nt
Filed under: uncultured bacterium
Lineage: Bacteria
Description: partial 16S ribosomal RNA
Rfam family: Bacterial small subunit ribosomal RNA
Source: RNAcentral
GACGAACGCUGGCGGCGUGCUUAACACAUGCAAGUCGAACGGAAAGGCCCUGCUUUUGUGGGGUGCUCGAGUGGCGAACGGGUGAGUAACACGUGAGUAACCUGCCCUUGACUUUGGGAUAACUUCAGGAAACUGUGGCUAAUACCGGAUAGGAGCUCCUGCUGCAUGGUGGGGGUUGGAAAGUUUCGGCGGUUGGGGUUGGACUCGCGGCUUAUCAGCUUGUUGGUGGGGUAGUGGCUUACCAAGGCUUUGACGGGUAGCCGGCCUGAGAGGGUGACCGGGCACAUUGGGACUGAGAUACGGCCCAGACUCCUACGGGAGGCAGCAGUGGGGAAUAUUGCACAAUGGGCGGAAGCCGGAUGCAGCAACGCCGGGUGCGGGAUGACGGCCUUCGGGUUGUAAACCGCGUUCGCCUGUGACGAAGCGUGAGUGACGGUAAUGGGUAAAGAAGCACCGGCUAACUACGUG